AUCCAACUGACGAGUUCCAAAUAGGACGAAACGCACGUCGUGGAU
RNAcentral lists this non-coding RNA (45 nucleotides) under Schistosoma margrebowiei. The record is from RNAcentral. Lineage: Eukaryota; Metazoa; Platyhelminthes; Trematoda; Strigeidida; Schistosomatidae.